AUUGCCCUAGUAACGGCGAGUGAAGCGGCAACAGCUCAAAUUUGAAAUCUGGCUUCGGCCCGAGUUGUAAUUUGUAGAGGAAGCUUUUGGUGAGGCACCUUCUGAGUCCCCUGGAACGGGGCGCCAUAGAGGGUGAGAGCCCCGUAUAGUCGGAUGCCGAUCCAAUGUAAAGCUCCUUCGACGAGUCGAGUAGUUUGGGAAUGCUGCUCAAAAUGGGAGGUAAAUUUCUUCUAAAGCUAAAUACCGGCCAGAGACCGAUAGCGCACAAGUAGAGUGAUCGAAAGAUGAAAAGCACUUUGAAAAGAGGGUUAAAUAGCACGUGAAAUUGUUGAAAGGGAAGCGUUUGUGACCAGACUUGCGCCGUUCCGAUCAUCCGGUGUUCUCACCGGUGCACUCGGGACGGCUCAGGCCAGCAUCGGUUUUGGCGGGGGGACAAAGGUCCUGGGAACGUAGCUCCUCCGGGAGUGUUAUAGCCCAGGGCGUAAUGCCCUCGCCGGGACCGAGGUUCGCGCAUCUGCAAGGAUGCUGGCGUAAUGGUCAUCAACGACCCGUCUUGAAACACGGACCAAGGAGUCAAGGUUUUGCGCGAGUGUUUGGGUGUAAAACCCGCACGCGUAAUGAAAGUGAACGUAGGUGAGAGCUUCGGCGCAUCAUCGACCGAUCCUGAUGUAUUCGGAUGGAUUUGAGUAAGAGCGUUAAGCCUUGGACCCGAAAGAUGGUGAACUAUGCUUGGAUAGGGUGAAGCCAGAGGAAACUCUGGUGGAGGCUCGCAGCGGUUCUGACGUGCAAAUCGAUCGUCAAAUCUGAGCAUGGGGGCGAAAGACUA
RNAcentral lists this ribosomal RNA (826 nucleotides) under Neurospora tetraspora. RNAcentral's name for it is "eukaryotic LSU rRNA". It matches the Rfam family "Eukaryotic large subunit ribosomal RNA", at positions 74 to 933 of the family's 3401-position model. RNAcentral also lists the same sequence under 1 other name. Lineage: Eukaryota; Fungi; Ascomycota; Sordariomycetes; Sordariales; Sordariaceae. The record is from RNAcentral.